CCCUUCUCUCCGUUUUCCUCCUUCCUGCCAUGUUGAAUGUGUCAGCCUCUCCUUCACCUUCCACUCUGAUUCUGGCUGCUCUCCUCUACAUUCGGUGGCCUUGGGAACACCAAAGAUGUGGCCUUGGCAACACUUGCACAUCGAGGUCAAGAGGCCAGGAAGAGCAUCCUGCCUUCUAACUCCUUUGAAGUUUACUCAAAAUUCUCAUCCUGAACUGGACUUUUGGACUCAACAACAAAAGGGAUGACGCUGUGUUUCAGAGGAAUUCAUAAGCAGAAUUGAAUUUGUUUUAGUUAACUCCUUAUUUGAUUGGAAUAUUGUCGACUUAACAAAAUAGUAGAAAGAGCAUUGGGCUGAAGUGAGAAGAUUUGAAUUCUAGUCCAAAAUCUGUUACUAACCAGCUCUUUGACCCUGAGAAGUCAUUUGACUUGAAUUAUAGUCUUUUUCUUAUAUGGGAAAGGUGGAGUAUACUCAGAGUCUCUCCUAAGUGCUAAGAUUCUGUGAUUCUAUGAAAUCAGACCAUCAGAGAGGAAUACUGCAGUGUUCUCCUGCAUGGGUUGUAAAUGAGAAAAAAGAAAGAAGGAGAGCAAAAUGACUUAAAGACAUUUUCAAGAAAAAAAGAGGAGAGAAGUCACUGAAAUGGAAAAAUAAACAUAUUAUAUAACUAUUUAUUGCACUAUGCAAUAAAAACAUCUUCAGCAACAGCCACACAAGUGCGGGUAGAGGGUCUGCUUUGAAGAGAGAAAAAAGGCUGCUGCAGAAAAAACAAACCUCAAUUCAUAAUUGGAGCUUUUGUUCUUUCUGGAUUGUUUUGUGAAGAACAUGCUGCCAAAAAACAUUUUUCUUCUGUAACCGCUUCUUUUGAAACUCCAUUCUUUUUUAUUUCAAGGAUGUUUAUUAUCUACUCAUUUCUUUUUAUUUAUUUUUGAAUCAUAUACCCCAAUGUCUAGAUGACUGGGACCACUAGGUUUCAUAUUUCCCAGAUGAGAUUAGUUGUACAGUUCAUUUUGCAGGUUUAUUCAGAGCAUUUCAAUGGCAUUUCACCUACAGUUCACCUAUAUUGAGUCCUAAGAAAUUGAAGGUGUUUCUUGAUAGUUCUCCUGCUCCAUCUUCUUCCAGGGGAUUGAUUUGGCUUCUUAUGUUUUUGUAUUUGGUUGCUCAUUAGAGAUAAGCCUGAUUAUUUGGCAUUGUGUAUUUUCUCUGUUUUAAAAAGGGAAAAUACAACAUGUUAUUAAUUAUUAUGAUAUAAUAAAAAAUGGAGAGAAGGAAAAAG
This 1273-nucleotide long non-coding RNA is filed under the name Homo sapiens (human). Its description in RNAcentral is "lncRNA SMARCA2 (BRM) associated". The record is from RNAcentral. Lineage: Eukaryota; Metazoa; Chordata; Mammalia; Primates; Hominidae.